CCACUGGAAACUUGAAAGCUUUAGACCUGACCUUCUAAACAUUACAGCUGAAACAAUAAGCUUUUGGCUUCAGCCCCCACAAACUCCAACCCUGAAUCCCAACUCCAACCUCAGAGAGUAUCGUGUAACUACAAUUUCGUGGUUUGUCAAUUCUCGAUCGACUGAAGUGAAUGUCCAAUAUGGAGUAACUAUGUCCAAUACUUAAAGAAAAGGGAAAAAGGAAAAUGAUCAACAGAAAGAAUUUUGUUUUGAAAAAAAUGAUGAAUGAAUUACUACAAAU
This 280-nucleotide unclassified non-coding RNA is filed under the name Hevea brasiliensis (rubber tree). Lineage: Eukaryota; Viridiplantae; Streptophyta; Magnoliopsida; Malpighiales; Euphorbiaceae. The record is from RNAcentral.